AUUGAACGCUGGCGGAAUGCUUUACACAUGCAAGUCGAACGGCGGCACGGACUUCGGUCUGGUGGCGAGUGGCGAACGGGUGAGUAAUAUAUCGGAACGUGCCCAGUCGUGGGGGAUAACGUAGUGAAAAUUACGCUAAUACCGCAUACGAUCUAUGGAUGAAAGCGGGGGAUCGCAAGACCUCGCGCGAUUGGAGAGGCCGAUAUAAGAUUAGGUAGUUGGUGAGGUAAAGGCUCACCAAGACGACGAUCUGUAGCUGGUCUGAGAAGACGACCAGCCACACUGGAACUGAGACACGGUCCAGACUCCUACGGGAGGCAGCAGUGUGGAAUUUUGGACAAUGGACGCAAGUCUGAUCCAGCCAUUCCGCGUGCAGGACGAAGGCCUUCGGGUUGUAAACUGCUUUUGUACAGAACGAAAAGGUCUCUAUUAAUACUAGGGGCUCAUGACGGUACUGUAAGAAUGAGCACCGGCUAACUACGUGCCAGCAGCCGCCGUAA
RNAcentral lists this ribosomal RNA (500 nucleotides) under uncultured bacterium. Its description in RNAcentral is "partial 16S ribosomal RNA". It matches the Rfam family "Bacterial small subunit ribosomal RNA", at positions 30 to 523 of the family's 1533-position model. The record is from RNAcentral.